GAUGAAUGCUGGCGGCGUGCCUAACACAUGCAAGUCGAGCGGCAGCGCGAGUAGUUUACUACUUGGCGGCGAGCGGCGGACGGCUGAGUAACACGUGGGAACGUGCCCCAAAGUGAGGGAUAACGCACUGAAAGGUGUGCUAAUACCGCAUAUGGUCUUCGGAUUAAAGAAUUUAUUCGCUUUAGGAGCGGCCCGCGUCGGAUUAGGUAGUUGGUAGGGUAAUGGCCUACCAAGCCGACGAUCCGUAGCUGGUCUGAGAGGAUGAUCAGCCAGACUGGAACUGAGACACGGUCCAGACUCCUACGGGAGGCAGCAGUGAGGAAUCUUCCACAAUGGGCGAAAGCCUGAUGGAGCAACGCCGCGUGCAGGAUGAAGGCCUUCGGGUUGUAAACUGCUUUUAUAAGUGAAGAAUAUGACGGUAACUUAUGAAUAAGCACCGGCUAACUACGUGCCAGCAGCCGCCGCAG
This 467-nucleotide ribosomal RNA is filed under the name uncultured bacterium. RNAcentral's name for it is "partial 16S ribosomal RNA". It matches the Rfam family "Bacterial small subunit ribosomal RNA", at positions 28 to 523 of the family's 1533-position model. The record is from RNAcentral.